RNAcentral lists this long non-coding RNA (9260 nucleotides) under Marmota monax (woodchuck). Lineage: Eukaryota; Metazoa; Chordata; Mammalia; Rodentia; Sciuridae. The record is from RNAcentral.
GUAUUAAUAGAAGUAUUGAAGCAGGUGGGUAAUUAAUUUAUUGUUACUUUGUUGAUGUCUAUCAAUGUGAAAAUAAUACUUAAGUUUUGAAAGUCACAGUUUAUGAAAUUGGUUAUGAAUUCCAAAUUCUGGGUCGUAUGAAGUAUGUUUAUGGAUUACUGAAGAACAGGCAUAGUUAUUGGAAGUACUAUUACUGAUUUUCUCCUUAAUAUUCCCUUCCAAGUUAAAAGUCAUCCUUGUUUUUCAGAUUCCACUUCAUCCUGUAAUAGAUGGUUUAAUUCAUGAUGUUAUUAACUUGGCUUUCAAGCACUUUAAAUACAAAGAAGGGUAAGGUGAUUUCUUGCCUUAGAGUUUUGAAGAAGUUGGGUGCUUAAAACUGAAUCACUGGUUGGAUUUUUCAGGUGAGCAGAGAUCCUAACUUGUCUAAUUUUUCCUUAUUUAGGUAUCUUGGUCCUAACACUGGCAAUAUGCACAUUGUGGCCGACCUGUAUGCGGAAGUCAUUGGAGUGUUAGCACAAGCUAAGUAAGUGAGCCCCGAAGCCCUGGACCGAGAACACAGGAGUGUCUCUGACUUAAGGAGAGGCAGCUUUGAGCUCACAAGGAACUCUGGUUCUUUUUACCAAGCAUACCCACCCCGAAAACUAAUUAGAGUCUCCUCCAAGGCAGGUACCUAGUUAACUUUUUCACCCAGGCAGUUGGGCCAGAUCCUGCUGAGUCCGUGGUUUUAGACAACUGCUUCAAAGAAAGAAAUGGACUCACCAAAUUACUUUUCUGUCUGUUCAGAUAUUCUAAAGGUGUUUAUCAAUUUUUUUUCAGGUUUUGUUUUCUAUAGUCCCCAAGUGGGUGGUAGCAAUCUAUCAUUCAUGAAUGGGAAAUUCCAUUCUAUAAUGUCCCGUUUACUCUAGACCUUACUUAAUUCAGCUGAGCUAAAAGUGUCCCAGCGUCUGCCAUGGAAACAAGUGGGGGUGGGGGAGUUCUCAUUACUAAAUUUAUCUGGCCCCAUAACUCCAUUUAACAGGCUAGAACAUAGUGUUAGACUAUUAGCAAUAACAUACUUCUUCCAAAAGUGAUGUCACACCAUACUUACCCAUCUUCAUUUUAUCCAACCCUGAGGCAAACCAAGCAAGAUCCCAAAUGCCUACUUUGGGCAAAAUGAGGCAGAGACAUAAGGAGAAUUUAAGCCAAGAGGCCAGUUGGCUUUGUUGAUGCCCCAAUCCUUGGGAAAGACAAUCCUCCAAAGAGAUUUCCAUCUUUAAUAGAUGGAAUUUCCUAAGUCAGUAGCAUGUAAAUACACAACUUUUCUAAACUUUGAAAUACUUAUUCAGCAACCUUACCUAGCCAAAAUGUAGACAGGAACUUGGGAGAUAGACCCCCCAAAAAUCCUUGGCCUGAUUUAUUUAGUCUAAUCCAAUCUAUCUACUCAUCCCAACUACUUGUUUUUUUCCUAACAUAAUUCAUCAGUGUUAGAAGGUAGAGAAUGAAUUUUUGUGGAGGGCAAUACAGGUCAAAAGCUGACAGCAAAAGAAGAAAGAAACUUGCCAAAGCAUUCAGAAGAAUUCUGUAUUCCCAAUUCUAUUAUCUGGACCUUUUUGUAUGAGUCUGUGUUGUACUUUUAUGAUAGCCUAUUAUUAUAAUUGUGGUUCAUGAAUCAUUAAGGGAUAAAGGUGCAUUUUGGAGAAAUUUCCAUUGCAAGUAGGAAAUAAAGACAUAGAUAUUUAACUGGAUAAGUUGCAAGUAUCUGAAAAUUAACUCAUGUGUAUCUUCCACAUUCCAAAAAUGAUCCAAAGAAGGAAGUAUUGAUAUGUAUACUUGCUGGUUUGUCAAACUCUGAAAAUCUCAGCGUAUUUCUUUAUAAUUAUCUUGGCUUAAUUCUCUUGUGCUCUCAUUUGGACAGCUUAGUAUUCCAAAAGUGGCUUUUUUGUGUGUUAUUCCUAUUUUUAAGAAUUAUGCAUAACAAUGUCAGAUACUGUCAAAUGACCUCCCUUAGUUCCAUACAUUUUGAAUAAAUUGAGAAAUAAUGUCAAAACUGAGUAGAGUUUGAAAUUGCAGGAGUUUCCAUAUUAGGAUAGAUCUAGGAUGCACUGAGCCAGUAUUUUCUUGCCAACAGUGGCUUUUUUCAUUUUCUUGACGUCGAUAUUUGUCCCAAUUCUGCAAUAGCUAAGUGUUAAAAAUGUCUCAAUUUGGUCAGUGCUUCAGUAUUUUCCAGUCACUGGGGAACUCUUUAAUUCCUGUCUUUCAGGGAAAUUUUUUUACUAUUAAGUGAUAUUCACACAUAGUAUUGGCUUUUUUCAAAGUCAAUUAAGCUAAAAUUAGAUUUUUUUUUUUAAGUACCUUGGCCAGUCUGCUCUUGCAGUGAUCAGACUCAAAUAGCCCAUGGUAUGUUCUCAACCAGGCAAUGUGUAGCUAACCUUUAUUGAUAGAUAAUACAAUCUUACCUUAGUGUCAUACGUCUUCGUUCUCAUAAGUAUACCAGGACCAUUUCUUUAUCUUCACUUUAGAAAAGUACUGCUUCUCUUGUUCUCAAGGAGAUAAACCCCCCAAAACACUUUUUUUUAAAAUCUGGUUCAAUGUGAUUAACAUUCCUAAAAAUGAUAAGUAUUAUAAUAAUUUGAAUUUUAGAUUGUGUAUCUAUUUUCCAAUGAUAAUGCAUAUUAAAUAUUUUCCACAUUAUAACUUCAGGUUUUAAGGCUUACUUGGUCGUUGAGUUUUAGCAGAAUCACUGUUUUAAUCUUCCUGGUAAUAAUAAUACUACUUAAUUCCUGUCAGUAAGGAAUGUAUUCCUAUUAAGAGAUAUCCAUACAUAGUAUUGACUUUUUCAAAGUAAAUUAAGUUAAAUUAGAUUUUUCUGUGUACUUUGGUUAAAAAUAUAUGCUGUGCAUAUGCACAAUAUAUCUUAAUGUGAAAUGUAUAGUAUUGCCAAAGGCUGAGUAUUUACUUACUGUAUUUGUCUAAGUUCUAAAGAAAAGGUCACUGAAAAAUUGGCUUUUCCCUAUAAUCAUUGUAAGGGAAGUGGAUUUUUGGAUUGCUUUUAUGCUAACAUAACAUGUUCAUAUCAUUUGGAACUUUCAACAGUAAAAGAUAGUCAUACUUAUUUUUAAAUUAGAAAUAAAGUUUCAGCAGCCAUCUCAUGAGAAGAUCGAUAGACUGAGUUAUACAAAUAACCUGGCCUUUCCUACCUCUGCUUAGUCAAGUAUAAAAGGUGUAAGAACAAAUGUUUAAAUGUGUAUCUUUUCUGUGAAAAUUACCUUUAUUUCGUUCAUCAGUAGAAGUAAAAUCAGAUUUCACAAAAUUUCAACUUUGAAAAGGAGCUUCAAGUAGCCUAGCCAUGUGCCAUCUGCAAGAGACCUCUCAAUGACCUGCUCAGCUUCUGCUUACAUGCCUCCAUGACAGGAAACUCACUAUCUCCCCCAAAGGAAAUUAACCCACUCAGAACAUGUACUGAGCACCUACUAUAUGCCUGAUCUUUUGUGGCGCUUACAGCUCAUCAGUGGAGUCAGACAACCAACAAAAUCCCAUAGACAAUUAAAUUAUAUAAUAUAUUAGAGUUCAUUCCAUUUUCAAAUGUCUUUUUGCCAUAAGUUUUCCCUUCAUUUUCUUCCAUGUAAUGAUUUAGUGCUUGAAGAAAGUGUUCAUGGCCUUCUCAAGUCACUCACUUUCAAUCUGUACACUCCUCAUUGGCUAGGCAGUUACUCAUAUGUAUUGGUUUACUGGAGACAGUGUAACAAAGGACCACAGUUUGGAUGGCUUCAACAACAGACAUUUAUUUACACACUGUUCUGGAGGCUAGAGGUUCAAGAUCAAGGUGCUGGCUAAAGUGGUUUCUUCUAUGACCUCUUCCCCUUGAGCUUGCAGGUGGCCACCUUCUCCCUAUGUCCUCAUGAGGUCCUUUCCCAUUGUGGGCAUACUUUUUCCUCUUCUAUUCUCUAGGCAUAUUGGAUGGGGGCCACCCUAACUCAAUCACCUCUUUAAAGCCCCUGACUCCAAACAUAGUCACAUUCUAAGAUACAUGAAAUUAAUACUUUUUUGUAUGAUCCAGAGUUGGGGACACUUUAGUCCAUAAAAGUAGGUCUGGGGAAGGUCCAGAAAAUGUGCAUUCUAGUAAGCUUCCAGAUGCUGCCAAUUUGGAGAACGUGUUUUUGAGAAUGACUGGUUUAGACAUAGAGAUUCUAGAACAAGACUUGGCUUCAAAUGCUAGCUUCUGAGCCUCUCAGCUAUGAAAUUUUAUCAGGUUAUGAAAUCUUUCUCUAGUUUCCUCUUCCAUUAAAAAAAUGAUAUAAUAUUGAACCUGCACACAGUGUUGUUGAGGAUUAGAUAAGUCACUAUAUGUAACUGGCCCGUGGCUGGUGUGGAGUGGGUACUGUAUCUGCUUGCUACUAUUGUCAUCAUUUCCAUCAAUUUUUAUCUAUAAGAUUUAGAAAAGGAUGAUGACAUUGGAGCUUUGAAUUUAUAUUCCAAAAUAUUCAACAGUGUAGUUUUAAAACUUCUUCAAAUAGAUGUUAUCUGAUAUCAAAUCUAUUUUGUAAGUUUUAUAAAUAAAAUUUGCAUUUCAAUUUUGCUGAUUUCUUCAUCCUAAAAAAUAAUACAUAAUCUUCCAACUAGUCUCCAUGAUAUUUUACUUGUAAAGUAAACACAACUAAUAUUUUUUAUCUUAUUUCAAUAGUAUUUAAGAAAUGUCAGAAUGGGCCUGUUUGGAAUGCUGUCUUGAAAGUGAAUGUUUUGUGGAAAGCCACAAAAUGCUACCACAGAUUAGGAAUAAACCCUGAAAUAUCCUUAACUACAUUAACAACCCAUUAGAGAAUAUCUCAUUCAUAAAGUAUUUGUGCCUUGAAGUUAUUUAUAUUUUCUGCUCUAUUGCCUUUGUAAAAUCUUUUUAUUGUGAAAUACAUGUAGCAAAUAUACAUAAAAACCCAUAAAACAAAUAUAUAGUUUAACAAAUUGUUAUAAAAUGAACACCAUGUAAUUUCUCUCCACCCCCCAAAACUGGCCCCUUUCCAUUUGGGAAACGGUCUGUGUGCUUGGCUACCUUUAUUGUGUGUCCUAAAACUUCUACUUUGAGGCAAGACUUGUUCCCACCUUCUGUGAUUCUAUUGGUUUGCUUCUAUUAGUUUGCCUUUAGCUUUUGUAAUCACAAGUACGUUUUCUAAUCAUACCUGGCUUUCUGUGUUUUUCUUUUCUGUUUUUUAACUACUAAUCAAAGCAGCAUAUCUCAGAAGUUUAAAAAAAAAAUCGUAGGUUUUUAAAAAGCCAUUCUUUUUUUAAACUAAUAUGACAUGGUUGUUGGUGUUGCGAUUAAUAUUAUUUUGCUUUCAAAUAAUACAAAUAAGUUUCUUUUGUUUGUUUUCAUAUUCACCACAUUAAAUUAUAAAAUCCCAUACAUAUAAUAGACAGCCCAUAUCUUUUAAACAUAAUUUUCCCAUUACUAGAUUUUCCCAUUACUAGAUUUUUCCUUCAACUUAAAAAUAUAUUUUUCCAUGAUCAUUAAUCUAAAACUAUCAAGGAACAACAGGAGAAAAUUUUGGAAAUAGAUGUCAAAAUAUCUUUGGCAUUAUUUGUAAGUCCAAAAAUCAUUUGCUGUCACCGUCAGAAAUAACUGACCCUAGUAUGUUAUUACUCGCAUACUCAAAAUUUGACACUUUAGGCCCUGGAGGUCUGUAAGUAUGUUGGAAAUUGCUAAGCCCGAGGAAAUGGAGCUUUUUGUCUGCUCAAUUUAAGAGCUAAACCAUCUUGAGAGAGUCUAGAUAAUGCUGGGUCUGUUCCCUAGUCUGAAGGAGAGGUGAAGCAUCUUGUCGAAUAAGAGGGGAAAGGAGAAAAUUGGACUCUACCAAAUCCCGAAUGUCAAAUCCUUGUGAAAUGACAGUCAUUGUACUUCACCUGUUUCUAAGGAUCUGAUGACCGUGCACUGUCACUUUAGGUGCUGGAAGCCCCCAUUGCAUGGCUUUCCUGUCACUUGAUAAACCACUUACGUUCUUUUUGUAGAUUCCCUGCUGUCAAGAAGAAGUUUAUGGCAGAGUUAAAAGAAUUACGGCACAAAGAGCAAAAUCCGUAUGUGGUGCAGAGCAUUAUCAGCUUGAUAAUGGGAAUGAAAUUCUUUCGAAUUAAAAUGUAUCCAGUGGAAGACUUUGAGGCCUCUCUUCAAUUUAUGCAGGUAAAGUCCUGGACAAGAGCACUAAGUGAUGAUCAACUCAAAUAAUUCCCUUUAUCAGAAUGACACCUCGAUUGUGAAAACCCUUUAUAAGCGGGAUCCAACUUACAGUGAUUCAUCUAGUAGUAUUUCAACUUUAGUGGUGUGAUAGGUAUACACAUUCAGUAGAAACUGCAUUUCAAGUUUUGAAUUUGGAUCUUUUCCCAGGCUAGCACUAUGUGGUCUGAUCCUCUCUUUAGAUGCUGGGCAGAGCUCCUGGCCAACCCCAUCAUCAUGGUGGGAAACAGCCAGCACCACAAUGUGUUCUGUGGCUAGGCCAGGCCAUUCACUAAGUUAGGGGUGUUCAAUGCCAUUUCCUCUUAAUGAUAUUUUCAACUUAUGAUAAGUUGAUCUGGACAUCCCAUCAUCAUGAGCCAAGGAGCAUCUUGACUUAGAACAUCCUACCUUAUCAAUAAUUCUUUAAGUGCCUGGAACCAAACAAUAGAGUUACAGACACAUUGUUUCAUUUAUUAAAAUUUCCUGUUAUCUUUGGAGUAAAGUGUACAAUAGCAUUUCUUACUUUUUUGGUUUUUUUCUCUUUUAUUCAUUUUGAUAACAUUGUUCUGUGAAUACAAUAUAGCUGACACUUUUACUUUUUUAGAAAUUGAUAGCAUUGGAUUGGCUACAUCAACAUUUACAGGAAUCUUCAUUUAAAAAAAAAAAUCAACCAAAUCAUAUAGGUUUGAUGUCUAUCAACCUGAAUUCAUUAUGGUGCAUAGCAAAAAAAAAAAAAAAAAGUUACUAAUAAGAACUUGGGAAAGGCAGCAGAGCACAACAGACAGUAGUAUGGCAAUUUGUAAAUCAAUGGAUGUGUAACUGAUGUGAAUCUGCAAUCUGUGUAUGGGGUGAAGGUGGGAGUUCAUAACCCACUUGAAUCAAAGUGUGGAAUAUGAUAUGUCAAGAAAUUUGUAAUGUUUUGAACAACCCACAAUAAAAAAUUAAAAAAAAAAAAAAGAUUGUCAAACAUCAUAUGAUGAGAAGAGAAAGAAGUAGCAUUCAUAGAUAUUUCCAUUCCUGUUAUUCCAAUAAUUAUGUAAAUGUUGAAGGUAGUUACUAUAGGGGUAAUUUUAUACAAUAUUUUUAAUGAAUCUGCAUUUUUACUAUAAUCUGUCAGGUGAUGUGAAGUGUAGAAUUUUCCACUUUUGGUGUCUUGUCAACACUCAAAAAAUUUCAUAUUUUGAAGCACUUCAGAGUUCAUUUUUGGAUCAGAGUUGAUAAGAUUUUAUUUGUACUAUCAUACUGGUAGAUCAAAUUCAGUUAUUACCCCAAUCAGCAAAAGAACUAAGUUCUCUAAGUGCUUCAUAUUUAACUGGAUUUUGGUGUCUUUGAAACAAAAUUACUGUUCUAUUGAAAACAAACUCACUAAAUACUAUGUAGAUGGAUGUAUAUUGUUGGUUAUGUAUCCUUAUCAAUGAUGAAAAAUAAAAUGUGACUAUUUUCCUCUAAUGCAAAAAAAAAAAAAAAAGAGUUUACAACUGGGCACAGUGGAGCAUACCCGUAAUCCCAGCUGGUCAGGAGGUUGAGGUAGGAUUGCGAGUUCAAAGCCAGCCUCAACAACUUAAUGGGACUCAGUCUCUAAAUAAAAUAUAUUUUAAAAGGGGGGCUGGGGAUGUGACUCAGUGGUUAAACACCCCUGGGUUUAAUCCCUGGUACAAAAAAAAAAUUACAAAAACUUAGGUACCUGAAGGCAUUUUUCUAAUACUUCUGUAAAUUAGAUUUGGUACUCAUCUUACUUGAGACUUUGGAUGUAGGAGUUAUGAAUGUAGAUUGUACCAUUCUAUAAUCCAAAAGUCGGCUAUUAAAAAGACACGUAAUAAACAUAGGAGAGGAUGGGAGGAAACUGGAACCCUCAUGCCGUGCUAGUGUGAAUGCAAAACAGCCUGGAAGCUCCUCAGGUGCCCAAACGUAGAAUUACCCAAUGAUCCAACAGUUCCACUCUAGGUAUAUAUUAUACACCCAAGAAAAAUAAAAAUGUAUGUUCACACAUAAACUUGAACACAGAUGUUCAUAGCAGCAUUAUUCAUUGUAGGCCAAAGUGAAAAUAACUCAAAUGUCUGUGAACCAAUGAAUGGAUGAACAGAAUGUGACAUAUCCAUACAAUGGAAUGUACAAAAUGUGGUAUAUUCAUGCAGUAAAGUACUGAUGCAUGCUGCAAAAUAAAUGAACCUUAAAAAUAUACUUAGUAAAAGAAGCCAGGCACAAAAGCUCAUGUAGAAUGUGAAUCCAUUUACCUGAAAUGUCCAGAACUGGCAAAUCCAUAGAGAGAGAAAACAUGUUAAUGGUUGCCUAGGACUGAGCAUCGGAGUGGAUGGAGAGGUAGAGAGUAUCUGCCAAGGGGUACAGAGUUUCUUUGGGGGGCAUUAAAAAGUUCUAAAUUUGAUUGUGGUGAUAGAUGGAUGCACAACUGUUGGUAUACCAAAAUCCAGUGAACUGAAUAUUUCAAAUGAGUAAAUUGCAGAGUACACGAAUCAUCUCUCCAUAAAGCUGGUACGUAGAGGGGUGGAGAGAGGGAAGAUGGACAUUGUGUGUCAGACUUCUUGGAUUUGGAUUGAAGAACCAUAUUUAUCGGCUCUGUGACCUUAGCCAGUUACAUUGUCUUUUUCAUCCCAAUUAUAAUUCACCUAAAAGGUGCUGGUAAUGACACUAACGUUGAGGAUUCUUAGUAUAUGAUAAUCACUCGGUGAUUCUUAUCUAUUAUGUUUAUCCCACUUUCAUACUAAUAGAUCAUAUGUGUCUGUACUUGGGUGACAACUUGAUAUAUGCAUACAUAUGCAAAAGGUAGCAAAAGAACAUGAUCCUGGGAACCAUAAACUCCAUUCUGUCUGGGGAAAACGGUCUCUCUGACUCCUAGUUGGUAUUGCCCACCCAGAGCAGAGGUUGUAAUAUGAUGUUGGUAGACUGAGGACCUUAGCAGCUGGUCUUCCCAAUUGCAACUAUAAUAAAGGGUGAGAGCUAAUGUGGAAAUUAGUAUGUCAUCAAAUAUGUGUAGCCUGGAUUCUUGGAUGGGAAUAGGGCCUGGCAGAGACCACAGGAAGCACUAGCAGAAGGCCUGGAGGAGAAAAGGCUGGCAGUGCUCAAG